Molecule: ribosomal RNA, 468 nt
Filed under: uncultured bacterium
Lineage: Bacteria
Description: partial 16S ribosomal RNA
Rfam family: Bacterial small subunit ribosomal RNA
Source: RNAcentral
GACGAACGCUGGCGGCGUGCUUAACACAUGCAAGUCGAACGGAGAGGCCCUGCUUUUGUGGGGUGCUCGAGUGGCGAACGGGUGAGUAACAAGUGAGUAACCUGCCCUUGACUUUGGGAUAACUUCAGGAAACUGGGGCUAAUACCGGAUAGGAGCUCCUGCUGCAUGGUGGGGGUUGGAAAGUUUCGGCGGUUGGGGAUGGACUCGCGGCUUAUCAGCUUGUUGGUGGGGUAGUGGCUUACCAAGGCUUUGACGGGUAGCCGGCCUGAGAGGGUGACCGGCCACAUUGGGACUGAGAUACGGCCCAGACUCCUACGGGAGGCAGCAGUGGGGAAUAUUGCACAAUGGGCGGAAGCCUGAUGCAGCAACGCCGCGUGCGGGAUGACGGCCUUCGGGUUGUAAACCGCUUUCGCCUGUGACGAAGCGUGAGUGACGGUAAUGGGUAAAGAAGCACCGGCUAACUACGUG